Molecule: long non-coding RNA, 1922 nt
Organism: Balaenoptera ricei (Rice's whale)
Lineage: Eukaryota; Metazoa; Chordata; Mammalia; Artiodactyla; Balaenopteridae
Exons: 2
Source: RefSeq, a predicted model, not a curated record
AGAUGCAUGGGCGCCGGGCACCUAGGCGCAGCCGAGCCAAUCAAGGCUGACCUCCUCCUUCCCGACCUUCGCACCUGAUUCCCAGAGCGACAACCCGCGCCCACUCCGGAUUACUUGAAGGAACCCAACCAUGUUUCCGAGUCCCCAACAUUUUCCAGAAAUUAAGACCGAUGGGGGCCGGGGGAGAGAAGGAGAGGGUUUUUCUUAAGAAUAAGGUCCCGAGAUGUAGGGAGGGGCCCGUGGGUGCAAAGAUUUUUUUUUUUUUCCACCACGGAAAGAGAGGAGAAUGGAGGUGGAUUCCUGGGAGAUGAGGUACAGGAUCCUGGGAAGGGGACCUGCAAUUCCAGGAGCUGGUCUGGAUAAGAUGUAGUGUGAAGGAUAGGGUUUGCUGGCUGUUCCAGCCCGCUCAACGCUCCACUUUAAAAAAAAAAAAAAAAAAGUGUUGGCGGCGGGUAGAGGGGAUGAAAGGAGGUGUGGGCAGGACAAGACGAAAAUCCAGAACUUACAACGGUGGCCCGUAGGAAUUUUCUCGCCAAACCAAGAAAUGGAAAAGAAAGCAAGAGAGGCAGUGGCGGCGAGAGGAUGGCGGGGAUCCGCCCGCGCCGCCAGGUGCACCCGGGCCCCGCACCUACCUGCUGGCCGCCGCCGCCACUGGAGUAGGACUCGGCGUGCGCAGGAGAGCCGCUGCUGCCCCGGGAUGAGAAAAGGAGCUGAGAAUAAACUUCCUGUGGCCGACUCGCCGCCGGAGUUUCGAGCGGUUCGGACACUUGACUAGAAGGCAGCCUGCGCCCGGCCCGCGGCCGGUGGGGUUCCAGUUGAGCCGGCGCGGAGAGGGACGUGGCCCCGCUCCCCGUGCCACAGCUGCGGCGCCCGGACCUGCACCCCUUCCCCGGCGCCCGCUCCCGGACGGGCCCGCGUUGCCCGUCCGCGCCUCUCUCACUCCCUCUCUCUGUCCCCGCCGAACGCCGUUCGCUUGCUCGCUGGUUUGCUCGGAGCCCCAGCGCUCUGCCCGAGAUGAGUCACUACAAUGGCACGAGUUCAACUCCACACUCUUUAUUCUCCAGCCCCUGUACCUCACGUCAACCCCAGACUCCACCUUGCAGGGAGGAGCGCGCGGGGAGGCGGAGGGAGAAGGCCGAGGAGGAGGAGGAGGAGGAGGAAGAGGCGCGGGAGGAGGCGGGCGCAGCGCUACCCUCCCUGCCCCGGCUCCCGGCCGCGCUGACGCCAGCCGCGCACCCAGCGCGAGGAAGGAAGGGGGUGGCGGGUGUGGGAGCGGACCGCUGGCGCGGUUUGAGGGAGCCGAGGCUCCUGGCCCUUCCCCCCCCCCCGCCCACCCCCCGGCCCCGCGCCCUUGGUCUGCUCCGCUGGCGCACGUUGCCAAAGAUGGUCAUUUGCGUUAGAGGACGCGAGUGCGGGUUCCCUCGCUUUCGGGUGACGUGGAGGGAGAGGGAUUCCCUCGCCGGCUCCCCAGCACGCCGCGGCCUCCCCGCCUUCCACCACCCUGGGAAGGGGCGCGGGGCGGGGCCCCCGAGAGCGGCCGCAGGGGCCUCGGCGCCGGGUUUUAGAAAAUAAUCACAGUCCCGAAGAGCGAGACGGGCGGUUCAGUGCGGCGCCACCGCGAGGCUGGGAGCCGGGCGCGCUGAGCCGCUCGCAGGGAGGGCGCGGCCGCGCAUGGUCGUCGGCGUCCUCCGCGGCGCCGCCUGAAGCAGCGGGCGCCCUGGGCGCGCUGGGUAUCCGCACCUCCCUGAGGCCGGGCCUUGGCGGGGCACGGCGCCGCCGGGCGGGGCCGGCCUGCCUAGUUUGCCCUCCGUGGCUGGCUGCCCACUGCUUCCCGCCCCUUCCCCCCACCCGCCCCGUUUUUUCGGCCCUGAAAUUAAUUUGUUAGGAGUAGCCUUGAAGACGAAAUUAAACAGUCAAGACAU